AUCAUUUUAAAAUUCUAUAUUGUAUUUUACACUAGACGUACGACGUACACUCGUAUUAUUAUACACAAAAUUAAAAAUUGUUUUUUGUUGGCGAAAAUUUCAAACAUUUAAUCAAAACACAUCUUUGGUUGCAGACUUUCAAUUGAGAUUGCUCACGAGUUUUUACCAGGGUCCCAGCAAUUGCCGAGCCAUUUGUUGAAGGAAGCCAACAACGAGCCACAAUCACGGAAUAGAAUGUUAUAAGUCGGUACUACUGGAGGGUGGCUGGGCUGAUCAUCGCCCAGCUAAACACGAUGAUCAUCUCCAAAUCUCCAAGUACUCCAGUGCCAUCUGCCAUUACACAGAAGUAAUAUUACAAGAGGAAGUACAGCAAAUCCAUCAUAAACAUAUAGAAUGUUUACAGAUGCCCACGAGGGGCAUGCAACAGAAUUGGAAAUAGUUUGGUCAUGGCUAUUGGAAUUCUGAUUAAACUUUUGUGUCUGCAAAAGUUUGUUUACGCACUUGAAAGAAGCUGAAGUGUACGACAUUGAUACACCUACAUGUUGAUCUGAAAUAUAAAAUAAAAUACAACAAAA
Molecule: small RNA, 575 nt
Filed under: Drosophila pseudoobscura pseudoobscura
Lineage: Eukaryota; Metazoa; Arthropoda; Insecta; Diptera; Drosophilidae
Description: GA31402
Source: RNAcentral